Molecule: long non-coding RNA, 447 nt
Filed under: Mytilus galloprovincialis (Mediterranean mussel)
Lineage: Eukaryota; Metazoa; Mollusca; Bivalvia; Mytilida; Mytilidae
Source: RNAcentral
GGUGCGCAGACAAUAAAUGGGAGUUUUUGCCCAUCUUACAUUUAGAAUUACGUGUAAAGUGAUAUUACUCAUUAACCAAACAUAUUAAAGACCUAGGGUCUUUUUGAUUUAAGGUCCUUGGUUUGUGACCUUGAAAUUGAGGUCAAGGUCAUAGGUUAAUAGGACGUUCUAGAUUUUGACCUUUGCUUUAAAUUCAUAUAAAUACAUCAUAAAGCCAUAGGAACUAACAUUUUAAACUGAUUUUUCAUAUUUCAAUAUCAAAAUAGAUCUUUACUAGUGGAAAGACCUUCAAUUGUUCUCUGAACAAUUGGUUUUUAAUUAUUAUUAUUUUAUUUUUUUUUUUUCUUCCGCCUAAAUUUUUUUCUUGCGUAGUAUUGAUGUUUCAAAAGAUGUCGCUUAGAUAUUUGGAAUAUGAUGUCGUAUAGUUUAUACGCUUUAAAAAUUUAC